GUUUCCGUAGGUGAACCUGCGGAAGGAUCAUUACCGAGUGAGGGCCCUCUGGGUCCAACCUCCCACCCGUGUUUAUCGUACCUUGUUGCUUCGGCGGGCCCGCCUCACGGCCGCCGGGGGGCACCCGCCCCCGGGCCCGCGCCCGCCGAAGACACCAUUGAACGCUGUCUGAAGAUUGCAGUCUGAGCAUCUUAGCUAAAUCAGUUAAAACUUUCAACAACGGAUCUCUUGGUUCCG
RNAcentral lists this unclassified non-coding RNA (237 nucleotides) under plant metagenome. RNAcentral's name for it is "partial contains small subunit ribosomal RNA, internal transcribed spacer 1, and 5.8S ribosomal RNA". The record is from RNAcentral.